Molecule: ribosomal RNA, 253 nt
Filed under: uncultured bacterium
Lineage: Bacteria
Description: partial 16S ribosomal RNA
Rfam family: Bacterial small subunit ribosomal RNA
Source: RNAcentral
UACGAAGGGGGCUAGCGUUGUUCGGAAUUACUGGGCGUAAAGGGUUUGUAGGCGGUCUUUUAAGCCAGAGGUGAAAGCCCGGGGCUUAACCCCGGAAUUGCCAUUGGUACUGGAAGGCUAGAGAGUGUUAGAGGAAAGUGGAAUUCCUAGUGUAGGAGUGAAAUCCGUAGAGAUUAGGAGGAAUAUCGAUGGCGAAGGCAGCUUUCUGGGACAUUUCUGACGCUGAGAAACGAAAGCGUGGGUAGCAAACAGG